This 436-nucleotide ribosomal RNA is filed under the name bacterium M00.F.Ca.ET.199.01.1.1. Its description in RNAcentral is "partial 23S ribosomal RNA". It matches the Rfam family "Bacterial large subunit ribosomal RNA", at positions 916 to 1356 of the family's 2925-position model. The record is from RNAcentral.
GGACGAGGGGCCCUUCUCGGGUUACCGAAUUCAGACAAACUCCGAAUGCCAAUCAAUUUAACUUGGGAGUCAGAACGCGGGUGAUAAGGUCCGUGUUCGAAAGGGAAACAGCCCAGACCACCAGCUAAGGUCCCAAAAUAUAUGUUAAGUGGAAAAGGAUGUGGCGUUGCCCAGACAACUAGUAUGUUGGCUUAGAAGCAGCCAUCAUUUAAAGAGUGCGUAAUAGCUCACUAGUCGAGUGACACUGCGCCGAAAAUGUACCGGGGCUAAACAUAUUACCGAAGCUGUGGAUUGUCCGUAGGACAAUGGUAGGAGAGCGUUCUAAGGGCGUUGAAGCAUGAUCGUAAGGACAUGUGGAGCGCUUAGAAGUGAGAAUGCCGGUGUGAGUAGCGAAAGACGGGUGAGAAUCCCGUCCACCGAUUGACUAAGGUUUCCA